UAACUGAAGAGUUUGAUCAUGGCUCAGAUUGAACGCUGGCGGCAGGCUUAACACAUGCAAGUCGAGCGGGGGAAGGUAGCUUGCUACCGGACCUAGCGGCGGACGGGUGAGUAAUGCUUAGGAAUCUGCCUAUUAGUGGGGGACAACAUCUCGAAAGGGAUGCUAAUACCGCAUACGUCCUACGGGAGAAAGCAGGGGAUCUUCGGACCUUGCGCUAAUAGAUGAGCCUAAGUCGGAUUAGCUAGUUGGUGGGGUAAAGG
Molecule: ribosomal RNA, 260 nt
Filed under: Acinetobacter baumannii
Lineage: Bacteria; Pseudomonadati; Pseudomonadota; Gammaproteobacteria; Moraxellales; Moraxellaceae
Description: partial 16S ribosomal RNA
Rfam family: Bacterial small subunit ribosomal RNA
Source: RNAcentral